RNAcentral lists this long non-coding RNA (367 nucleotides) under Homo sapiens (human). RNAcentral's name for it is "non-protein coding lnc-C3orf58-12:2". Lineage: Eukaryota; Metazoa; Chordata; Mammalia; Primates; Hominidae. The record is from RNAcentral.
GCUGCUAAGCCGAGAAGGAGUCAGUCAGAGAGCCUUGGGACACAGUUCCAGGGGCUCUGGGAGUGGCUACCAGGUGAGUUGAACAGUCCGAUUUCCAGUGGGGUCUCGCACAGAUGGGACACGGCUUAGGAGGAAUCCUGGGCUGCAGGCAUUCAUUGGCCUGGUGGUCAGAUUUCUGGCACUUACAGUUCCAGGGGCUCUGGGAGUGGCUACCAGGUGAGUUGAACAGUCCGAUUUCCAGUGGGGUCUCGCACAGAUGGGACACGGCUUAGGAGGAAUCCUGGGCUGCAGGCAUUCAUUGGCCUGGUGGUCAGAUUUCUGGCACUUGUAGCAAGCUCCUGGGGGAGGAGGUUCUGGAGGAAUGCCU